This 253-nucleotide ribosomal RNA is filed under the name uncultured bacterium. RNAcentral's name for it is "partial 16S ribosomal RNA". It matches the Rfam family "Bacterial small subunit ribosomal RNA", at positions 524 to 776 of the family's 1533-position model. The record is from RNAcentral.
UACGUAGGUCCCGAACGUUGCGCGAAUUUACUGGGCGUAAAGGGUCCGUAGGCGGUUUAGCAAGUGGUUGGUGAAAUUUCACGGCUCAACCGUGAAACUGCCUUCCAAACUGCUAAACUUGAGGCAGGGAGAGGGCGGCGGAAUUCCCGGUGUAGCGGUGAAAUGCGUAGAGAUCGGGAGGAACACCAGUGGCGAAGGCGGCCGACUGGAACUGUCCUGACGAUGAGGGACGAAAGAUAGGGGAGCAAACCGG